GCGACCCCAGGUCAGGCGGGGCUACCCGCUGAAUUUAAGCAUAUCAAUAAGCGGAGGAAAAGAA
This 64-nucleotide ribosomal RNA is filed under the name Silene dioica (red campion). Its description in RNAcentral is "partial 28S ribosomal RNA". It matches the Rfam family "Eukaryotic large subunit ribosomal RNA", at positions 1 to 63 of the family's 3401-position model. The record is from RNAcentral. Lineage: Eukaryota; Viridiplantae; Streptophyta; Magnoliopsida; Caryophyllales; Caryophyllaceae. RNAcentral also lists the same sequence under 2 other names.